This 385-nucleotide ribosomal RNA is filed under the name uncultured bacterium. RNAcentral describes it as "bacterial SSU rRNA". It matches the Rfam family "Bacterial small subunit ribosomal RNA", at positions 29 to 417 of the family's 1533-position model. The record is from RNAcentral.
AUUGAACGCUGGCGGCAUGCCUUACACAUGCAAGUCGAACGGUAACGCGGGGCAACCUGGCGACGAGUGGCGAACGGGUGAGUAAUGCAUCGGAACGUGCCCAGUAGUGGGGGAUAGCCCGGCGAAAGCCGGAUUAAUACCGCAUACGACCUACGGGUGAAAGCGGGGGAUCGCAAGACCUCGCGCUAUUGGAGCGGCCGAUGUCAGAUUAGGUAGUUGGUGAGGUAAAGGCUCACCAAGCCUUCGAUCUGUAGCUGGUCUGAGAGGACGACCAGCCACACUGGGACUGAGACACGGCCCAGACUCCUACGGGAGGCAGCAGUGGGGAAUUUUGGACAAUGGGCGCAAGCCUGAUCCAGCCAUGCCGCGUGCGGGAAGAAGGCCU